ACAGAGCAAGGCUCUGUCUCAAAAAAAAAAAAAAAGAAGAAGCCUUAAGGGAUAGGGGAGUUGCUGGCUCAGGUGGGAUACCUGGAAGUUCCCCUAGCCUUUACCUUGCCCUUCACCCCAGAGCUGAGCCCAUGAGGAUAGUUCGCCAGCCAACGCCUCCACCUGGGGACCUAGAACCCCCAUUCCAGCCAUCUGCUCUGCCUGCAGACCCUCUGGAGAGCCCACCAACAGCCCCAGAUCCUGCUCUGGAGCUCCCAUCCACCCCACCACCGUCCAGCCUUUUACGCCCCCGCCUCAGUCCCUGGGGCUUGGCCCCGCUCUUCCGUUCCGUCCGCUCCAAGCUGGAGAGCUUUGCUGACAUCUUCCUCACGCCCAACAAAACCCCACAGCCCCCACCCCCGUCCCCCCCAAUGAAGCUGGAGUUGAAGAUCGCCAUCUCAGAGGCCGAGCAGUCUGGGGCUGCUGAGGGCACUGCGUCUGUCAGCCCCCGGCCCCCAAUCCGCCAGUGGCGAACUCAGGACCACAAUACCCCAGCACCUCUCCCUAAGCCCUCUCUGGGCCGAAGCUACUCCUGCCCUGAUCUGGGGCCCCCUGGCCCAGGUACCUGCACCUGGCCACCUGCUCCACCCCAACCAAGCCGACCACGGCCGCGGCGGCACACUGUGGGUGGUGGGGAAAUGGCCCGAGCCCCGCCACCCCCUCGGCCCUGUCUCCGGAAAGAGGUCUUCCCUCUCGGAGGAGUGGGAGCCUCCCCUUCUCUCGCCACAUCUUGCUCGUCCACGGCAUCCACUUCCUCCUUCUCCGAACCAGCAGAACCCAGGUUGGGUUCAACCAAAGGGAAGGAGCCAAGAGCCUCAAAGGACCAGGUGCUUUCAGACCCUGAGACCAAGGUAGGCAUUCAGAUCGGGUAGAAGAGACUAGUGGGGGCCUGAGCCCAUGUCACUCUUUCACCCUCUGCCCCAUUUUUGCAGACCACGGGAAAGGUUUCUCGAUUCAGAAUACGCAGAACACCAGCCCGUCCUCAGCUAAACCUUACACCAAUGGGACUGCCUCGACCAAUCA
RNAcentral lists this small RNA (1062 nucleotides) under Pan troglodytes (chimpanzee). RNAcentral describes it as "retained intron". The record is from RNAcentral. Lineage: Eukaryota; Metazoa; Chordata; Mammalia; Primates; Hominidae.